RNAcentral lists this ribosomal RNA (515 nucleotides) under Aphanomerus sp. M246. Its description in RNAcentral is "eukaryotic LSU rRNA". Lineage: Eukaryota; Metazoa; Arthropoda; Insecta; Hymenoptera; Platygastridae. The record is from RNAcentral.
AAACCGUUCAGGGGUAAACCUGAGAAACCCGAAAGAUCGAAUGGGGAGAUUCAUCGUCAGCGCGGUUGGCUUUCGCCGCGGGUUGCGAUGUCGCCGGCGGGCGGGUACCUUCACGGGUCCCGUUCGUCACGCGCGGCACGCUCCCGUGCGAAUGCGUCCGGCCGCGUCGGCGUGCACUUCUCCCCUAGUAGAACGUCGCGACCCGCUGGGUGUCGGUCUACGGGGCCGCGUCAUUAGGCCGUCGCGGGCGCUUCACGGCGCCCGUUGGCGGAGGCGUGGAUAUCCCCCGAUCGACUGCCCGGCGGUACACGCACGGUAUCGAGCCGCACAUUUUAACUGCGUUCUGGCCCGUCGCAAGCUCGCUCGUGUUCACUUUGGACGAUUCGGACCUCGAAGCCGACGCCGAAGCCGAGCAGCUGUUGGCGCACGGUGUCCUCGAACAGGCUCACCCACGCCGAGUCCCUCGGGCUCGCGGGUACCGGUCGGCGACGCUAUUGCUUUGGGUACUUUCAGGA